CCAUCUCUUUUACCAGUGAACAAUCCCAAUUCUCUGUGCCUUUCCCCAUAGCAGAGGAGCUCCAUCCCUGUGAUCACCUUGGUG
This is a non-coding RNA of Sturnus vulgaris (Common starling), 84 nucleotides long. The record is from RefSeq and is a predicted model, not a curated record. Lineage: Eukaryota; Metazoa; Chordata; Aves; Passeriformes; Sturnidae.